RNAcentral lists this small RNA (667 nucleotides) under Pongo abelii (Sumatran orangutan). Its description in RNAcentral is "processed transcript". Lineage: Eukaryota; Metazoa; Chordata; Mammalia; Primates; Hominidae. The record is from RNAcentral.
GAGAAACUGUGUAGCCUUCAUGCCCCCAGCGGAACAGAACCCGGCCCCCCUGGCCCAGCCAGAGCCUCUGGUGUGGGUCAGCAAGUGGGUUGACUACUCCAAUAAGUUCGGCUUUGGGUAUCAACUGUCCAGCCGCCGUGUGGCUGUGCUCUUCAACGAUGGCACACAUAUGGCCCUGUCGGCCAACAGAAAGACUGUGCACUACAACCCCACCAGCACAAAGCACUUCUCCUUCUCCGUGGGGGCUGUGCCCCGGGCCCUGCAGCCUCAGCUGGGUAUCCUGCGGUACUUCGCCUCCUACAUGGAGCAGCACCUCAUGAAGGUGUGAGGGCUGGGGCUGUGGUACAUUGAAAACUAACCCAACCUGGCUGGGUGCGGUGGCUCACGCCUGUAAUCCCAGCACUUUGGGAGGCCAAGGAGGGUGGAUCAUGAGGUCAGGAGAUCGAGACCAUCCUGGCUAACAAGGUGAAACCCCGUCUCUACUAAAAAUACAACAAAUUAGCCGGGCGUGGUGGCGGGCGCCUGUAGUCCCAGCUACUCGGGAGGCUGAGGCAGGAGAAUGGGUGAACCCAGGAGGCGGAGCUUGCAGUGAGCCGAGAUGGCACACCACUGCACUCCAGCCUGGGGGACAGAGCGAGACUCCAUCUCAAAAAAGAAAAAAAAAAAA